AUCUAGCUGACGAGUCCCAAAUAGGAUGAAACGCUUGCCUUACUGGAU
RNAcentral lists this non-coding RNA (48 nucleotides) under Schistosoma curassoni. The record is from RNAcentral. Lineage: Eukaryota; Metazoa; Platyhelminthes; Trematoda; Strigeidida; Schistosomatidae.